Molecule: ribosomal RNA, 462 nt
Filed under: uncultured bacterium
Lineage: Bacteria
Description: partial 16S ribosomal RNA
Rfam family: Bacterial small subunit ribosomal RNA
Source: RNAcentral
CUACGGGAUGCAGCAGCGGGGAAUAUUGCACAAUGGGCGCAAGCCUGAUGCAGCCAUGCCGCGUGUAUGAAGAAGGCCUUCGGGUUGUAAAGUACUUUCAGCGGGGAGGAAGGGAGUAAAGUUAAUACCUUUGCUCAUUGACGUUACCCGCAGAAGAAGCACCGGCUAACUCCGUGCCAGCAGCCGCGGUAAUACGGAGGGUGCAAGCGUUAAUCGGAAUUACUGGGCGUAAAGGCACGCAGGCGGUUUGUUAAGUCAGAUGUGAAAUCCCCGGGCUCAACCUGGGAACUGCAUCUGAACUGGUAAGCUUGAGUCUCGUAGAGGGGGGUAGAAUUCCAGGUGUAGCGGUGAAAUGCGUAGAGAUCUGGAGGAAUACCGGUGGCGAAGGCGGCCCCCUGGACGAAGACUGACGCUCAGGUGCGAAAGCGUGGGGAGCAAACAGGAUUAGAUACCCGCGUAGUC